RNAcentral lists this small RNA (24 nucleotides) under Brassica napus (rape). RNAcentral describes it as "PsRNA_76". Lineage: Eukaryota; Viridiplantae; Streptophyta; Magnoliopsida; Brassicales; Brassicaceae. The record is from RNAcentral.
AAAAUGUUCCUCAAUUAAUAUAUA